Non-coding RNA from Vicia faba (fava bean), 222 nucleotides. The record is from the annotation of a GenBank genome assembly. Lineage: Eukaryota; Viridiplantae; Streptophyta; Magnoliopsida; Fabales; Fabaceae.
AUGUUUUCUUUUCCCAGGUACGUCAUCAUCCUCCGUCAACGUAUUGUUAUGGAUAACCCGAUAAAUGUACCCAUAAACAUUGCCCUUAGACUUAAUAGUGAUGAGUCUUCACCAUCUACUAGAGUUGAGAACCCAAAACUUUUGGAUAUUUUCUACGAGGUGGAUUUUCCCAUUCCUGGCCAGAAUGUGCCCAAUGGUGGCUCUAGGCUAGGGUUGGAUUGA